GGACCUGGGUCACCCUGGGAUGUGGCCUUGGAUGAAGUCACUCUGCCUAGGACGCACCUAAUUCCCCAGCCACAGGCUGUGACAGUACAUGGGAACUGUCCACCAGGAAGCUCCUCAGAGGCUCAGUGCCCGGGGCUGUUAUUGGGGAGCAGUCAUGUGGCCCCCUCUGUCUGACAUGUAUCCGCAUCCCAGGUUCCCCAGAGGAAAGCAGGUGUUGCACAGAAACCACAGUGAUUGCACAAGCAGUUUAGGCUCAGCAAGCCCCACUCACUUAGGGGAUUCUGGGAGCCCUCCCGGAAUCCAGGGUCCCAGACCUUGCCAGGAGAGCCGUCUCAGGCCUGCUGCAUUAGCCCUUCCUGCAUGGCUGGAUAGUGACAGAGAGAAAGAGAGAGAAGAAGCUUAUUUAAAACUAGGAAGCAGCAGGUCGUGAGAGCCAAGAGUGCUCUUGACCUUGUUGGAACCAGGGCGCCAGAGCCGCUUCUCAUUGCUGGGAAGUUUGGGGAUGAUGACCCUGACUUUCCCUGUGGUUAUAACCUCGCUCCCUUGUUUGUUCCCCACAGCUGCACCCACCUCCGCCCUCGCCUGUGACUCAGGACCCCAGAAGCAAAAGUUCUCGCUCAAACUGGAUGCCAAGGAUGGGCGCUUGUUCAAU
This 652-nucleotide small RNA is filed under the name Pongo abelii (Sumatran orangutan). RNAcentral describes it as "retained intron". The record is from RNAcentral. Lineage: Eukaryota; Metazoa; Chordata; Mammalia; Primates; Hominidae.